Molecule: ribosomal RNA, 424 nt
Filed under: uncultured bacterium
Lineage: Bacteria
Description: bacterial SSU rRNA
Rfam family: Bacterial small subunit ribosomal RNA
Source: RNAcentral
GGGCCCGCACAAGCGGUGGAGCAUGUGGUUUAAUUCCGAUGCAACGCGCAGAACCUUACCUGGGUUUGACAUCCUCGGAUCGAUACAGAGAUGUAUUUUCCCUUCGGGGCCGAGUGACAGGUGCUGCAUGGCUGUCGUCAGCUCGUGUCGUGAGAUGUUGGGUUAAGUCCCGCAACGAGCGCAACCCUUAUCCUUAGUUGCCAGCGAGUCAUGUCGGGGACUCUAGGGAGACUGCCGGUGCUAAGCCGGAGGAAGGUGGGGAUGACGUCAAGUCCUCAUGGCCCUUAUACCCAGGGCUACACACGUGCUACAAUGGGCGGUACAGCGAGUCGCGAAGCGGUGACGUGGAGCUAAUCUCGAAAAGCCGUCCUCAGUUCGGAUCGCAGUCUGCAACUCGACUGCGUGAAGUCGGAAUCGCUAGUAA